UUUAGGUCCCCUCGCGACGAUAGACGUGAACCCCGUCAGGUCCGGAAGGAAGCAGCGGUAACGCUCGAUUCGGGCGCCGAGGUGAGGCUUUUAGAG
This 96-nucleotide signal recognition particle RNA is filed under the name Legionella adelaidensis. Its description in RNAcentral is "Bacterial small signal recognition particle RNA". It matches the Rfam family "Bacterial small signal recognition particle RNA". From Rfam's summary of the family: The signal recognition particle (SRP) is a universally conserved ribonucleoprotein involved in the co-translational targeting of proteins to membranes. The record is from Rfam by way of RNAcentral. Lineage: Bacteria; Pseudomonadati; Pseudomonadota; Gammaproteobacteria; Legionellales; Legionellaceae.